UACGGGAGGCAGCAGUGGGGAAUAUUGCACAAUGGGCGCAAGCCUGAUGCAGCCAUGCCGCGUGUAUGAAGAAGGCCUUCGGGUUGUAAAGUACUUUCAGUCGUGAGGAAGGUGUUAAGGUUAAUAACCUUAGCAAUUGACGUUAGCGACAGAAGAAGCACCGGCUAACUCCGUGCCAGCAGCCGCGGUAAUACGGAGGGUGCGAGCGUUAAUCGGAAUUACUGGGCGUAAAGGGCACGCAGGCGGUUAAUUAAGUUGGAUGUGAAAUCCCCGGGCUUAACCUGGGAAUGGCAUUCAAGACUGGUUAGCUAGAGUCUUGUAGAGGGGGUUAGAAUUCCAUGUGUAGCGGUGAAAUGCGUAGGGAUGUGGAGGAAUACCGGUGGCGAAGGCGGCCCCUGGACAAAGACUGACGCUCAUGUGCGAAAGCGUGGGGAGCAAACAGGGAUUAGAUACC
This 454-nucleotide ribosomal RNA is filed under the name uncultured bacterium. Its description in RNAcentral is "bacterial SSU rRNA". It matches the Rfam family "Bacterial small subunit ribosomal RNA", at positions 340 to 786 of the family's 1533-position model. The record is from RNAcentral.